Molecule: small nucleolar RNA, 138 nt
Filed under: Ornithorhynchus anatinus (platypus)
Lineage: Eukaryota; Metazoa; Chordata; Mammalia; Monotremata; Ornithorhynchidae
Source: RNAcentral
CCCCUCUCAGGGUCACACCUUGAGAGUUUCCAGUACUCUACCAGUCUCGACUACGGGAGGGAGAAUCAAGCAGAGACUUGUCCAUUCCAUUCCUAGCUUGGGCAGUGGUUAGCAAGUGGAAGGCAAUCUGCCACAAGU